Molecule: ribosomal RNA, 79 nt
Filed under: Clostridium botulinum NCTC 2916
Lineage: Bacteria; Bacillati; Bacillota; Clostridia; Eubacteriales; Clostridiaceae
Source: RNAcentral
GUGAUUAUGGCUUGAAGGUAACACCCGUUCCCAUACCGAACACGAAGGUUAAGCUUCAAAGCGCUGAUGGUACUGCAGG